RNAcentral lists this ribosomal RNA (492 nucleotides) under uncultured bacterium. RNAcentral's name for it is "partial 16S ribosomal RNA". It matches the Rfam family "Bacterial small subunit ribosomal RNA", at positions 29 to 507 of the family's 1533-position model. The record is from RNAcentral.
AGUGAACGCUGGCGGUAGGCCUAACACAUGCAAGUCGAACGGCAGCACAGUAAGAGCUUGCUCUUACGGGUGGCGAGUGGCGGACGGGUGAGGAAUACAUCGGAAUCUACUUUUUCGUGGGGGAUAAAGUAGGGAAACUUACGCUAAUACCGCAUACGACCUACGGGUGAAAGCAGCGGAUCUUCGGACCUUGCGCGAUUGAAUGAGCCGAUGUCGGAUUAGCUAGUUGGCGGGGUAAAGGCCCACCAAGGCGACGAUCCGUAGCUGGUCUGAGAGGAUGAUCAGCCACACUGGAACUGAGACACGGUCCAGACUCCUACGGGAGGCAGCAGUGGGGAAUAUUGGACAAUGGGCGCAAGCCUGAUCCAGCCAUGCCGCGUGUGUGAAGAAGGCCUUCGGGUUGUAAAGCCCUUUUGUUGGGAAAGAAAAGCAGUAGGUUAAUACCCCGCUGUUCUGACGGUACCCAAAGAAUAAGCACCGGCUAACUUCGUG